This 1684-nucleotide long non-coding RNA is filed under the name Homo sapiens (human). Its description in RNAcentral is "HSALNT0326684". The record is from RNAcentral. Lineage: Eukaryota; Metazoa; Chordata; Mammalia; Primates; Hominidae.
GUUGGAGCCUGAGGGUGAAAGCCUCAUGCUGAGAAGAGUGGAGCGGGAAGAUAAAGCAUGGCAACAUUGAUGACACCCUAGGCCUAAUACACCAGCCCUGACCUGCUUACCUUCUCUCAUUUGUAGGCUAUGUAGUCCAGUCACUUUUACGUGCAGCUGAGUACAACCCUAAAUGAUAUAUCAAUCGCUUCAGUGACCAUUUAUAUGUCAAUAGCUUGCACAUUUAUUAUUUGCAACCAAAGUAUCUCUGGAGGUACUCAUGUGCAUAUACAGUAUUACUGGAAACUUCUACUUGGAUAUCCUCCAGGCAACUCGAAUAUUUUAACAUGGCCAAAGCACAUCUUGUCCUCCAACCUACUCCCCCUGUGAUUUCCUUGUAUCAGUAAUGGCACCAGCGUUCACACAGAUGCAGAAAUGGAGGUUCAGAAAGUCAAAAUGGGGGUCACGUAGCAGUUAUCACCAGUGAUGGGGCAAACGACCUCUAUGCCUCCUGACAUGACACACCGAGAGGAGCACAGCAUCACCUCUGUGAUGUUCCUGCCAAAAGUGCAUACUCUGAAUCUAAUCAAGAAGCAGCACCAGACAAACUCAAUUUGAAGAGCUUCUAUAAAACAAUAAUCUGAAAUCUUUAAAAAAUUAAGGCCAUUAAGGUCAAGGAAGAACUAAGGAAUGGCCCUGGAUUCAAUGAGACUGAAGAAACAUGACAACUGAGAGCAACAUGUGAUCCUGGUUUGGAUCCUCUUGCUAUAAAGGACAUAAAUGGGCAGCUGGUGAAACCUGACUGGGGUCUUUGGGUGAAGGGUAUACAGAAGUUCUCUGUGGUAUUCUUGCAACUUUUAUAUAAGUAUGAAAUUAUUUCAAAAUAAAUAAAAGUAACAACAUUUGUUCAAAAACUUUUAUUUACUAUAAAGACAAAAACACCAAAAUAGGUACAAAUACUAUAAAAUCGGUUCAAUGGGGUAAAAAUUUUAAUUAAAAUAUCUCAAUAUAUUUAAAAUAACAAAGGAUACAUUUAAGCCAAAUUUUCUUAACCCAGAGAUUUUUUUUUUUUUUUUUUGUAACAUUUGCUUACACAGUAAGGUGCUAAUAGAAGUUAGCCCUUAAGCCCUGGAAAUCUUAGGAAUCAUAGUCACACAGCAAAUAUAAUUUCAUUGUGAAAGUGAACUUUGGUAGAAGAAAAAUCUAUAGGACACCUGAGGUAGUAGAAACUGGAAUAAACAGUAGUAGACGUUAUUUACAACUUGAGUACCAAAUAACAUUAAGAACACAAAAAUAAUUACACGAUACAAUUUCCAGUCCAGCUUUGAUCCAAAGAAAAUAAGAAUAUUACAUCACAUUUGCAUUGAAAACAAAACAAAAAACAAAACACCACAAUUACCAGCAAGCUGAGGGAACUGCAAACAAACUCAAACACAAUGGAUUUUGAAAUCUACAGAUAGUUUGAGUUUGAAAUGUGGUGGGCAUGGUGAUCUACAAAGUAAUACUGAUUAGCUGAGGUUCCUCAGUUUAUACAGUUUACAUUUUUGUCAGACACAGUAUUCAUCUGACCAAUGAUCUUCCAGUACAUAAAAUGGCAAGAGUGCAUCCUUUAAAGCUUGCACAUGAGAGACUUGGAAACAAUCUUAUUAGAAUUGUGAAAAUUCUAAGUAGUCAAAAAAAAAAAAAAACAAAAUAAAAAAGAAAG